This 749-nucleotide long non-coding RNA is filed under the name Homo sapiens (human). RNAcentral's name for it is "HSALNT0407176". The record is from RNAcentral. Lineage: Eukaryota; Metazoa; Chordata; Mammalia; Primates; Hominidae.
UUAAUAGAACUAGCUAGCUAGCUAGCUAAUUGGAAGAGAGAGAGAGAAAGAGCACUCAUGAAUGGCUGAUGAACAGAAAAUCCCUACAUUUUAAAGCAUACAUGUAGCACAAAUGUUGACUAUGCCAACAGGGAAAAUUGGUGAAUGGAAUGAUAACAGAUAAAAUUAUCUUUAUAAAUUCAUUUGUCCAUUCUGUGCAAUGCACUGAAUUUAAUUUAAUCUUAAAUUUAAUUCAUCUUUAAUUUAAUUGAAUCUUAAAUUCUUUUAAGACUCAUAAUAGCUCCCUAUAAAUUAAACGUAAUUAUUCCCAUUUUGUAUAUGGACAAAAUGAGAUUCAACGAGAUUAAGGUACUUUUCCAAAGACAUACAACAAACCAGUAAUAGAGCUGAGAUAUAAACACAGGUCUGUAUAAACCUAAAGUAUAUGAUACUACACCAUUGUGUCUGUGUCAUUUUAUGAGAAAAGAAAUUUAUCUUUUUGGGAGGAAUCACCCUGGGAAAGCAUGGUGUACUUUCACUCCAGUCUGUAGAUGUAAUCUCUAAGAACAUGAAUUGGGACAAAUAAGGAAAGAAACCAGACUAGCAGUGAUGGAUCCAGGAAAAAAAAAUUCAUAACUGCUCUUACCAAAGUAGUAUGUGACCUCUCAGGGUGUUCAUCACAUUUGUGUUAGUUUCCUUGUAUUCGGGAACAUGGCAGGAAAGUCAGAGACUAAUUCCCCAUAGAAGGUAAUAAGCCAUAGGAUGGAGGU